This 464-nucleotide ribosomal RNA is filed under the name uncultured bacterium. RNAcentral's name for it is "partial 16S ribosomal RNA". It matches the Rfam family "Bacterial small subunit ribosomal RNA", at positions 339 to 795 of the family's 1533-position model. The record is from RNAcentral.
CUACGGGUUGCAGCAGUGGGGAAUAUUGCACAAUGGGCGCAAGCCUGAUGCAGCCAUGCCGCGUGUAUGAAGAAGGCCUUCGGGUUGUAAAGUACUUUCAGCUGGGAGGAAGGGAGUAAAGUUAAUACCUUUGCUCAUUGACGUUACCCGCAGAAGAAGCACCGGCUAACUCCGUGCCAGCAGCCGCGGUAAUACGGAGGGUGCAAGCGUUAAUCGGAAUUACUGGGCGUAAAGCGCACGCAGGCGGUUUGUUAAGUCAGAUGUGAAAUCCCCGGGCUCAACCUGGGAACUGCAUCUGAUACGGGCAAGCUUGAGUCUCGUAGAGGGGGGUAGAAUUCCGGGUGUAGCGGUGAAAUGCGUAGAGAUCUGGAGGAAUACCGGUGGCGAAGGCGGCCCCCUGGACGAAGACUGACGCUCAGGUGCGAAAGCGUGGGGAGCAAACAGGAUUAGAUACCCGGGUAGUC